UACGUAGGUGGCAAGCGUUGUCCGGAUUUACUGGGCGUAAAGGAUGCGUAGGCGGAUGUUUAAGUGAGAUGUGAAAUACCCGAGCUCAACUUGGGUGCUGCAUUUCAAACUGGAUAUCUAGAGUGCAGGAGAGGAAAGCGGAAUUCCUAGUUGUAGCGGUGAAAUGCGUAGAGAUUAGGAAGAACACCAGUGGCGAAGGCGGCUUUCUGGACGUGUAACAUGACGCUGAGGCAUGAAAGCGUGGGGAGCAAACAGG
Molecule: ribosomal RNA, 256 nt
Filed under: uncultured bacterium
Lineage: Bacteria
Description: partial 16S ribosomal RNA
Rfam family: Bacterial small subunit ribosomal RNA
Source: RNAcentral